Molecule: ribosomal RNA, 432 nt
Filed under: uncultured bacterium
Lineage: Bacteria
Description: bacterial SSU rRNA
Rfam family: Bacterial small subunit ribosomal RNA
Source: RNAcentral
ACGCGAAGAACCUUACCAGGUCUUGACAUCCUCUGACAACCCUAGAGAUAGGGCUUCUCCUUCGGGAGCAGAGUGACAGGUGGUGCAUGGUUGUCGUCAGCUCGUGUCGUGAGAUGUUGGGUUAAGCCCCGCAACGAGCGCAACCCUUGAUCUUAGUUGCCAUCAUUAAGUUGGGCACUCUAAGGUGACUGCCGGUGACAAACCGGAGGAAGGUGGGGAUGACGUCAAAUCAUCAUGCCCCUUAUGACCUGGGCUACACACGUGCUACAAUGGACGGUACAAAGAGCUGCAAGACCGCGAGGUGGAGCUAAUCUCAUAAAACCGUUCUCAGUUCGGAUUGUAGGCUGCAACUCGCCUACAUGAAGCUGGAAUCGCUAGUAAUCGCGGAUCAGCAUGCCGCGGUGAAUACGUUCCCGGGUCUUGUACACACCG